This 503-nucleotide ribosomal RNA is filed under the name uncultured bacterium. RNAcentral's name for it is "bacterial SSU rRNA". It matches the Rfam family "Bacterial small subunit ribosomal RNA", at positions 791 to 1299 of the family's 1533-position model. The record is from RNAcentral.
UAGUCCACGCCGUAAACGAUGUUCACUCGCUGUUUGCGAUAUACUGCAAGUGGCCAAGCGAAAGCAUUAAGUGAACCACCUGGGGACGUACGUUGGCAACAAUGAAACUCAAAGGAAUUGACGGGGACCCGCACAAGCGGUGGAACAUGUGGUUUAAUUCGAUGAUACGCGAGGAACCUUACCUGGACUUAAAUGUACGUUGCAUAGAGUAGAGAUAUUCUUUUCUUCGGACUACGUACAAGGUGCUGCAUGGUUGUCGUCAGCUCGUGCCGUGAGGUGUCGGGUUAAGUCCCAUAACGAGCGCAACCCCUAUCGUUAGUUACCAUCAGGUUAUGCUGGGGACUCUAGCGAAACUGCCUGUGCAAACAGAGAGGAAGGUGGGGAUGACGUCAAAUCAGCACGGCCCUUACGUCCAGGGCUACACACGUGUUACAAUGGCAUAGACAGAGGGCAGCUACACGGCGACGUGAUGCGAAUCUCGAAACUAUGUCUCAGUUCGGAUC